Molecule: long non-coding RNA, 1053 nt
Organism: Marmota monax (woodchuck)
Lineage: Eukaryota; Metazoa; Chordata; Mammalia; Rodentia; Sciuridae
Exons: 2
Source: RefSeq, a predicted model, not a curated record
CGUCCCGUAGCCGCGUCGCCGGGGUGUUCCCGGGGCUCCGGGUGUCGCAGGCACCGACCCUGCGCCGCCCCCGCUCGGCGCCGGGGCCCCGGCUGCUCAGGUCUCCGCGGCCGCCGCGCUCCGCCCCGCGCGGGCAGAGCUCUUGCCUACAUGAAUCAGUCUACACAACCUAGGGCAUCUUCUGGUACCUGAUUCUCUGAAGUUGAGCAUCUUCUUUGGAUGGCUCCUUGGGCAUCUGGCUGGCCUCUGCGAUCAUAUCUCGAAUUUUCUGUAGGCAAUCUGCCAGAUUCCGGAACUGAUAGCGGCUGCUUUCGGAGGUGAGUAUCAACUCUCCUUCCCUGUUGAUCUUAUUUUUAUGCUGAAAGAACAAAAGGAAAAAGUGGACUUCUGCAGAGUAAAGGUUUAGAAGCCGCUGAGGAAUCUGCAGGGAAAUAAAGGGAGAGUGGUUACCUUGAGCGCAAUCUUCUGCCUCACAGGCUCUGCAAUCCAGUCAGCUGUGGCCAAAUGGAAUCUGACUUCAGCCUUGGAAUUCACUGCGGAUGAAAGAAAGGAGUAGUGGUCACUGAGACUUGGGAAGAUGAGGCACCCAGGGGACCAGUGACUAUCCUGGAACCAAGGGAAGCCAGAUACCCAGCCAUGCAUGUGCUGGCCUUUGUCGAAGUUGGCCAUGGAACGAGCCCGCAAAGGCAGUGAAGCUCUUCAGGACAAAAAACCUUCUGGUAACUAUCCAUGCAAUGCUUCUCUUCCAGUUUUACUGGCUUCAGUAAAGAAUGGGGGGAAUGGGUUCCACAAGAAUGAAGGAAACCUGUCUUGGAGCUGGCUGCCAGCUCACACUGUGAGUUCUCUUUGUUUAGCUUCACAAGCCAAUCCUACUCCUAGCAAGCCAUAGCUGACAGCCUGAGAAUCAGACCACAUUCAAAAGGAUAAAGAGGAUUGUUAUAAGCUGGUGGUAUUUAAGCUUUGGCUGAAAAAAUCCCUUUAUUCCACAUGAAUGUAAAAACAGCUCCCUCUUCAAUCCCCUCUCCCAGCUAAGUUUUAAAGCAACAGAAAACA